RNAcentral lists this ribosomal RNA (484 nucleotides) under uncultured bacterium. RNAcentral describes it as "partial 16S ribosomal RNA". It matches the Rfam family "Bacterial small subunit ribosomal RNA", at positions 30 to 507 of the family's 1533-position model. The record is from RNAcentral.
AUUGAACGCUGGCGGAAUGCUUUACACAUGCAAGUCGAACGGCAGCACGGGGGCAACCCUGGUGGCGAGUGGCGAACGGGUGAGUAAUACAUCGGAACGUGCCCGGUCGUGGGGGAUAACGUAGCGAAAGUUACGCUAAUACCGCAUACGAUCUGAGGAUGAAAGCGGGGGACCUUCGGGCCUCGCGCGAUCGGAGCGGCGGAUGUCAGAUUAGGUAGUUGGUGGGGUAAAGGCCUACCAAGCCGACGAUCUGUAGCUGGUCUGAGAGGACGACCAGCCACACUGGGACUUAGACGCGGCCCAGACUCCUACGGGAGGCCGCAGUGGGGAAUUUUGGACAAUGGGCGCGAGCCUGAUCCAGCCAUUCCGCGUGCAGGACGAAGGCCUUCGGGUUGUAAACUGCUUUUGUAUGGAACGAAAAGGCUCUGGCUAAUACCUGGGGCUCAUGACGGUACCGUAAGAAUAAGCACCGGCUAACUACGUG